This 22-nucleotide non-coding RNA is filed under the name Drosophila erecta. The record is from RNAcentral. Lineage: Eukaryota; Metazoa; Arthropoda; Insecta; Diptera; Drosophilidae. RNAcentral also lists the same sequence under 7 other names.
UGAACACAGCUGGUGGUAUCCA